RNAcentral lists this unclassified non-coding RNA (346 nucleotides) under uncultured Sebacinales. Its description in RNAcentral is "sequence contains ITS1". The stretch from base 1 to 105 matches the Rfam family "5.8S ribosomal RNA", at positions 50 to 154 of the family's 154-position model. The record is from RNAcentral. Lineage: Eukaryota; Fungi; Basidiomycota; Agaricomycetes; Sebacinales.
GAAAUGCGAUAAGUAAUGUGAAUUGCAGAAUUCAGUGAAUCAUCGAAUCUUUGAACGCACCUUGCACCCUUUGGUAUUCCUAAGGGUACACCCGUUUGAGUGUCAUUGUAAUCUCACUUCAACAUCUUUUUGUUUGAAUGUGGACUUGGAUGUUGCCGUGUAACUACGGCUCAUCUCAAAUGCCUGAGUGUACCCUGCUUUGCAGCGUAUUCGGUGUGAUAAUUCUUCACCGGUAGUGUCUCUUGUUAGACAGCGCUUGCUUGUGGGCUCUAUGCUUCAAACCGUCCCUUGGGACAAUCUCUGACAAUUUGACCUCAAAUCGGGUGGGACUACCCGCUGAACUUAA